Molecule: long non-coding RNA, 283 nt
Organism: Homo sapiens (human)
Lineage: Eukaryota; Metazoa; Chordata; Mammalia; Primates; Hominidae
Source: Ensembl
GGUAUUUUAAAAUAUUUGGUAGUCACUUAAAAUGCAUAAUGACAGACAAUAGGGUGUCAUAAUAUGGUUUAUUAAUCUUUUUUCAUUUUCCACUAGAUGUGGCAACUACAUAGUUGGAAGAAAUGUGGCGGCCGGGGGCAGUGGCUCACGCCUGUAAUCCUAGCACUUUGGGAGGCUGAGGCAGGAGAGUCGCUUGAACCUGCGAGUCAGAGGUUGCAGUGAGCCAAGAUCGCUCCACUUCACUCCAGCCUGGUCAAAAGAGUGAGACUCUGUCUCAAAAAAA